Molecule: transfer RNA, 69 nt
Filed under: Ceracris kiangsu (yellow-spined bamboo locust)
Lineage: Eukaryota; Metazoa; Arthropoda; Insecta; Orthoptera; Acrididae
Description: tRNA-Asp
Source: RNAcentral
AAGGAGUUAGUUAAAACAUAACAUUAGAAUGUCAAUCUAAAAUAACUAAAAAAAAAUUAGUACACCUUG